RNAcentral lists this ribosomal RNA (467 nucleotides) under uncultured bacterium. Its description in RNAcentral is "partial 16S ribosomal RNA". It matches the Rfam family "Bacterial small subunit ribosomal RNA", at positions 29 to 507 of the family's 1533-position model. The record is from RNAcentral.
ACGCACGCUGGCGGCGUGCUUCACACAUGCAAGUCGCACGGAAAGGCCCUGCUUUUGUGGGGUGCUCGAGUGGCGAACGGGUGAGUAACACGUGAGUAACCUGCCCUUGACUUUGGGAUAACUUCAGGAAACUGGGGCUAAUACCGGAUAGGAGCUCCUGCUGCAUGGUGGGGGUUGGAAAGUUUCGGCGGUUGGGGAUGGACUCGCGGCUUAUCAGCUUGUUGGUGGGGUAGUGGCUUACCAAGGCUUUGACGGGUAGCCGGCCUGAGAGGGUGACCGGCCACAUUGGGACUGAGAUACGGCCCAGACUCCUACGGGAGGCAGCAGUGGGGAAUAUUGCACAAUGGGCGGAAGCCUGAGGCAGCAACGCCGCGUGCGGGAUGACGGCCUUCGGGUUGUAAACCGCUUUCGCCUGUGACGAAGCGUGAGUGACGGUAAUGGGUAAAGAAGCACCGGCUAACUACGUG